This is a long non-coding RNA of Ictalurus punctatus (channel catfish), 692 nucleotides long. Lineage: Eukaryota; Metazoa; Chordata; Actinopteri; Siluriformes; Ictaluridae. The record is from Ensembl.
CGCAGUGAGACGCUGAUAUUCCUAAUAGGGUUGUUAUAAUGUAUCUGUAUCACAUUGUGUCAUUAGUCAGAAAUCCUAGACCUAUAACAUAUAAGGAAACCUUCAUAUAAUCGUAAAAUGUAUGUACCUUGAAAUAUUUGCGAUCUGCUGAGCAAUUCUGGUGCUAAUUAUAUUAGACGGUGCAGUAUCUUUCAUUAUUCCCGUGAGAUGAUAGAGGUUGUUUACUGCAGUGAAGUCACAGGUGGACACCGGCGAUCAGCGGGACGGUGAGAACGCGACGCGAUGGCAUUAUUAGCAUGACAUUGAGCUUUGGAAGCUGAUCUGUUUGAGCAGAACGGACAGGUGAGGAGGUGAGAGAGCUGGACGGAGUGAAGAAAUAAAGCGCCGCUGCAUCACCCUGUAGGCGUUUCAUUACACGUAAAAACACACCAAAGAACGACGUGAGGUUCUUCAGCCGACGCAAAACUGAAUCCGAAAAGGAAUAACACACUUCAGGAUGUGCGGUUAUUUGGAAAGAAUCAACUUCACAGAGGGCAGCAUGAUGCAGUCUGUCUUCUCUCCUGUCUCCUGGUUCCUUGUUCUUCAAAGGCAGGAGUGCUGACGAUCCGAGGCACUAAACCACUCCUCACCGAGUGACAGCCUUCAGUGAUGGAAACAUCUGCGGUUCCAGAACUCUCCGAGGAAAUAUGAUG